RNAcentral lists this ribosomal RNA (270 nucleotides) under uncultured archaeon. RNAcentral describes it as "partial 16S ribosomal RNA". It matches the Rfam family "Archaeal small subunit ribosomal RNA", at positions 477 to 747 of the family's 1478-position model. The record is from RNAcentral.
CAGCACCUCAAGUGGUCAGGAUGAUUAUUGGGCCUAAAGCAUCCGUAGCCGGCGCUGUAAGUUUUCGGUUAAAUCUGUACGCUCAACGUACAGGCUGCCGAGAAUACUGCAGCGCUAGGGAGUGGGAGAGGUAGACGGUACUCGGUAGGAAGGGGUAAAAUCCUUUGAUCUAUUGAUGACCACCUGUGGCGAAGGCGGUCUACCAGAACACGUCCGACGGUGAGGGAUGAAUGCUGGGGGAGCAAACCGGAUUAGAUACCCGAGUAGUCC